Molecule: long non-coding RNA, 383 nt
Filed under: Phoenix dactylifera (date palm)
Lineage: Eukaryota; Viridiplantae; Streptophyta; Magnoliopsida; Arecales; Arecaceae
Description: long non-coding RNA (PDAC_LNC010414)
Source: RNAcentral
UGGCUGAACCUGAUCGGGUUGCCUACGUACCCCUUCAUAAGGGGGAUCAAGCCAUACGUAGUUCUUUUUAAGUUUUAAAACGUAGCGAAAAAAUCGAAUCAAACAAUUUAAUUCAUGCAUGCUUACAAGAUCAAAUUUAGAAAUCAACACCUUAAGAACACAUAGGAUUAUGCCGGAAUCGUUUAAACAAUUAUGCUAAAACUUUCAUGCAUGAUUAACUAUCAGAUCUGAAACUUAAGAACUCUAUUCCGAUUAAUCUCCGAAUAUCCAUUGAAUGGAUUCUGGAGAUAUCUCCGUGAGGAGCCCCAAAAGAGGAUAAAACCUCGGGGAAUCAGACCUAGAUUUUGACACCAUAAUAAAAGAUUAAUGUAGGAUUAAUACCU